Molecule: ribosomal RNA, 223 nt
Filed under: uncultured bacterium
Lineage: Bacteria
Description: partial 16S ribosomal RNA
Rfam family: Bacterial small subunit ribosomal RNA
Source: RNAcentral
ACGCUCGACACCUACAGGAGGCAGCAGUAGGGAAUCUUCCACAAUGGGCGCAAGCCUGAUGGAGCAACACCGCGUGAGUGAAGAAGGGUUUCGGCUCGUAAAGCUCUGUUGUUGGAGAAGAACGUGCGUGAGAGUAACUGUUCACGCAGUGACGGUAUCCAACCAGAAAGUCACGGCUAACUACGUGCCUGCAGCCGCGGUAAUCUGAGCGGGCUGGCAAGGC